This is a small nuclear RNA of Ursus americanus (American black bear), 104 nucleotides long. NCBI's taxonomy places the organism in Eukaryota, Metazoa, Chordata, Mammalia, Carnivora, Ursidae. The record is from Ensembl.
GUGCUCACUUUGGCAGCACAUACACUAAAAUUGGAACGAUAUAGAGAUUAGCAUGGCCCCUGCGCAAGGAUGACAUGCAAAUUCAUGAAGUGUUCCAUAUUUAA